GGGCGAUUAGCUCAGUCGGUAGAGCAGCUGCCUUACACGCAGCACGUCGGCGGUUCGAGCCCGUCAUCGCCCACCA
This 76-nucleotide transfer RNA is filed under the name Acidobacteriota bacterium. Its description in RNAcentral is "Acidobacteria bacterium (groundwater metagenome) tRNA-Val". It matches the Rfam family "tRNA". Rfam says of the family: Transfer RNA (tRNA) molecules are approximately 80 nucleotides in length. Their secondary structure includes four short double-helical elements and three loops (D, anti-codon, and T loops). The record is from RNAcentral. Lineage: Bacteria; Pseudomonadati; Acidobacteriota. RNAcentral also lists the same sequence under 1 other name.